Molecule: transfer RNA, 66 nt
Filed under: Aleocharinae sp. 6 EF-2015
Lineage: Eukaryota; Metazoa; Arthropoda; Insecta; Coleoptera; Staphylinidae
Description: tRNA-Cys
Source: RNAcentral
AGCUUUAUAUUCAAUUAAUGAUUUUAAAUUGCAAAUUUAAAGUUGGUGCUUAGGUACCUAAGGCUU